GACGAACGCUGGCGGCGUGCUUAACACUUGCAAGUCGAACGGAAAGGCCCUGCUUUUGUGGGGUGCUCGAGUGGCGAACGGGUGAGUAACACGUGAGUAACCUGCCCUUGACUUUGGGAUAACUUCAGGAAACUGGGGCUAAUACCGGAUAGGAGCUCCUGCUGCAUGGUGGGGGUUGGAAAGUUUCGGCGGUUGGGGAUGGACUCGCGGCUUAUCAGCUUGUUGGUGGGGUAGUGGCUUACCAAGGCUUUGACGGGUAGCCGGCCUGAGAGGGUGACCGGCCACAUUGGGACUGAGAUACGGCCCAGACUCCUACGGGAGGCAGCAGUGGGGAAUAUUGCACAAUGGGCGGAAGCCUGAUGCAGCAACGCCGCGUGCGGGAUGACGGCCUUCGGGUUGUAAACCGCUUUCGCCUGUGACGAAGUGUGAGUGACGGUAAUGGGUAAAGAAGCACCGGCUAACUACGUG
This 468-nucleotide ribosomal RNA is filed under the name uncultured bacterium. RNAcentral describes it as "partial 16S ribosomal RNA". It matches the Rfam family "Bacterial small subunit ribosomal RNA", at positions 28 to 507 of the family's 1533-position model. The record is from RNAcentral.